This 539-nucleotide ribosomal RNA is filed under the name Bifidobacterium bifidum. Its description in RNAcentral is "bacterial SSU rRNA". It matches the Rfam family "Bacterial small subunit ribosomal RNA", at positions 162 to 712 of the family's 1533-position model. Lineage: Bacteria; Bacillati; Actinomycetota; Actinomycetes; Bifidobacteriales; Bifidobacteriaceae. The record is from RNAcentral.
GGUAAUGCCGGAUGUUCCACAUGAUCGCAUGUGAUUGUGGGAAAGAUUCUAUCGGCGUGGGAUGGGGUCGCGUCCUAUCAGCUUGUUGGUGAGGUAACGGCUCACCAAGGCUUCGACGGGUAGCCGGCCUGAGAGGGCGACCGGCCACAUUGGGACUGAGAUACGGCCCAGACUCCUACGGGAGGCAGCAGUGGGGAAUAUUGCACAAUGGGCGCAAGCCUGAUGCAGCGACGCCGCGUGAGGGAUGGAGGCCUUCGGGUUGUAAACCUCUUUUGUUUGGGAGCAAGCCUUCGGGUGAGUGUACCUUUCGAAUAAGCGCCGGCUAACUACGUGCCAGCAGCCGCGGUAAUACGUAGGGCGCAAGCGUUAUCCGGAUUUAUUGGGCGUAAAGGGCUCGUAGGCGGCUCGUCGCGUCCGGUGUGAAAGUCCAUCGCUUAACGGUGGAUCUGCGCCGGGUACGGGCGGGCUGGAGUGCGGUAGGGGAGACUGGAAUUCCCGGUGUAACGGUGGAAUGUGUAGAUAUCGAAAAAAAACACCCA